Danionella cerebrum is the source of this 71-nucleotide non-coding RNA. The record is from the annotation of a GenBank genome assembly. Lineage: Eukaryota; Metazoa; Chordata; Actinopteri; Cypriniformes; Danionidae.
UUUCCAGUGGCUCGGUUGGUAUAGCAUUGCGCUAAUAACGCAAAGAUCUUGGGUUCAAAUCCCAGGGUAAG